AGUGAACGCUGGCGGUAGGCCUAACACAUGCAAGUCGAACGGCAGCACAGUAAGAGCUUGCUCUUACGGGUGGCGAGUGGCGGACGGGUGAGGAAUACAUCGGAAUCUACUUUUUCGUGGGGGAUAACGUAGGGAAACUUACGCUAAUACCGCAUACGACCUACGGGUGAAAGAAGGGGAUCUUCGGACCUUGCGCGAUUGAAUGAGCCGAUGUCGGAUUAGCUAGUUGGCGGGGUAAAGGCCCACCAAGGCGACGAUCCGUAGCUGGUCUGAGAGGAUGAUCAGCCACACUGGAACUGAGACACGGUCCAGACUCCUACGGGAGGCAGCAGUGGGGAAUAUUGGACAAGGGGCGCAAGCCUGAUCCAGCCAUACCGCGUGGGUGAAGAAGGCCUUCGGGUUGUAAAGCCCUUUUGUUGGGAAAGAAAAGCAGCAGGUUAAUACCCCGCUGUUCUGACGGUACCCAAAGAAUAAGCACCGGCUAACUUCGU
This 491-nucleotide ribosomal RNA is filed under the name uncultured bacterium. Its description in RNAcentral is "partial 16S ribosomal RNA". It matches the Rfam family "Bacterial small subunit ribosomal RNA", at positions 29 to 506 of the family's 1533-position model. The record is from RNAcentral.